UUUUAUGAGAGUUUGAUCCUGGCUCAGGACGAACGCUGGCGGCGUGCCUAAUACAUGCAAGUCGAACGCUUCUUUUUCCACCGGAGCUUGCUCCACCGGAAAAAGAGGAGUGGCGAACGGGUGAGUAACACGUGGGUAACCUGCCCAUUAGAAGGGGAUAACACUUGGAAACAGGUGCUAAUACCGUAUAAC
This 192-nucleotide ribosomal RNA is filed under the name Enterococcus faecium. Its description in RNAcentral is "partial 16S ribosomal RNA". It matches the Rfam family "Bacterial small subunit ribosomal RNA", at positions 1 to 177 of the family's 1533-position model. Lineage: Bacteria; Bacillati; Bacillota; Bacilli; Lactobacillales; Enterococcaceae. The record is from RNAcentral.